CAGUAGCCGCGGGAAUACGGAGGGGGCUAGCGUUGUUCGGAAUUACUGGGCGUAAAGCGCACGUAGGCGGCUUGGUAAGUUAGAGGUGAAAGCCUGGAGCUCAACUCCAGAAUUGCCUUUAAGACUGCCGAGCUAGCAGGUGAGAGAGGUAAGUGGAAUUCCGAGUGUAGAGGUGAAAUUCGUAGAUAUUCGGAAGAACACCAGUGGCGAAGGCGGCUUACUGGCUCAUACUGGACGCUGAGGUGCGAAAGCGUGGGGAGCAAACGGGAUUAGAUACCCGAGUAGUCCCUGUCUCUUAUAU
This 301-nucleotide ribosomal RNA is filed under the name uncultured bacterium. Its description in RNAcentral is "partial 16S ribosomal RNA". It matches the Rfam family "Bacterial small subunit ribosomal RNA", at positions 509 to 809 of the family's 1533-position model. The record is from RNAcentral.